UUGUAGUAAUACAAGGCAUACGGCUCAGUAACGCGUAGUCAACCUACCCUAUGGACGGGGAUAAUCUCGGGAAACUGAGCAUAAUACCCGGCAGACCACUUAUCCUGGAAUGGUUAGUGGUUAAAAUGAUUCGUCGCCAUAGGAUGGGACUGCGGCCUAUCAGCUUGUUGGUGAGGUAAUGGCCCACCAAGGCGAUUACAGGUACGGGCUCUGAGAGGAGAGGCCCGGAGAUGGGUACUGAGACAAGGACCCAGGCCCUAUGGGGCGCAGCAGGCGAGAAAACUUUGCAAUGUGCGAAAGCACGACAGGGUUAAUCCGAGUGAUUUCUGCUAAAGGAAUCUUUUGUUAGUUCUAAAAAUACUAGUGAAUAAGGGGUGGGCAAGUUCUGGUGUCAGCCGCCGCGGUAAAACCAGCACCUCAAGUGGUCAGGGGGAUUAUUGGGCCUAA
RNAcentral lists this ribosomal RNA (447 nucleotides) under uncultured archaeon. RNAcentral describes it as "bacterial SSU rRNA". It matches the Rfam family "Archaeal small subunit ribosomal RNA", at positions 62 to 513 of the family's 1478-position model. The record is from RNAcentral.